RNAcentral lists this ribosomal RNA (1295 nucleotides) under metagenome. RNAcentral describes it as "bacterial LSU rRNA". It matches the Rfam family "Bacterial large subunit ribosomal RNA", at positions 1657 to 2925 of the family's 2925-position model. The record is from RNAcentral.
CUUCAGGUGAUCAGGUAGAGAAUACUAAGGCGAUCGAGAGAAUUAUGGUUAAGGAACUCGGCAAAAUGCCCCCGUAACUUCGGGAGAAGGGGGGCCUGCCCCGUGAAGGAGAUUUACUCUCCGUGAGCGGGUGUGGGCCGCAGAGACCAGGGGGAAGCGACUGUUUACUAAAAACACAGGUCCGUGCGAAGUCGCAAGACGAUGUAUACGGACUGACUCCUGCCCGGUGCUGGAAGGUUAAGAGGACCGGUUAGCAACACUUGUGUUGCGAAGCUGAGAAUUUAAGCCCCAGUAAACGGCGGUGGUAACUAUAACCAUCCUAAGGUAGCGAAAUUCCUUGUCGGGUAAGUUCCGACCUGCACGAAUGGAGUAACGACUUCCCCGCUGUCCCAACCAUAAACUCGGCGAAAUUGCAGUACGAGUAAAGAUGCUCGUUACGCGCAGCAGGACGGAAAGACCCCGAGACCUUUACUAUAGUUUGGUAUUGGUGUUCGGAGUGGCUUGUGUAGGAUAGGUGGGAGACUGUGAAACCUUCACGCUAGUGGGGGUGGAGUCAUCGUUGAAAUACCACUCUGGUCACUUUGAACAUCUAACUUCGGCCCGUAAUCCGGGUCAGGGACAGUGCCUGAUGGGUAGUUUAACUGGGGCGGUUGCCUCCUAAAAAGUAACGGAGGCGCCCAAAGGUUCCCUCAGCCAGGUUGGCAAUCAGGUAUCGAGUGUAAGUGCACAAGGGAGCUUGACUGUGAGACCGACAGGUCGAGCAGGGACGAAAGUCGGGACUAGUGAUCCGGCGGCACAUUGUGGAAUGGCCGUCGCUCAACGGAUAAAAGGUACCUCGGGGAUAACAGGCUGAUCUUGCCCAAGAGUCCAUAUCGACGGCAUGGUUUGGCACCUCGAUGUCGGCUCGUCGCAUCCUGGGGCUGGAGUAGGUCCCAAGGGUUGGGCUGUUCGCCCAUUAAAGCGGUACGCGAGCUGGGUUUAGAACGUCGUGAGACAGUUCGGUCCCUAUCCGCUGCGCGCGCAGGAAAUUUGAGAAGGGCUGUCCUUAGUACGAGAGGACCGGGACGGACGAACCUCUGGUGUGUCAGUUGUACUGCCAAGUGCAUCGCUGAUUAGCUACGUUCGGAUGGGAUAACCGCUGAAAGCAUCUAAGCGGGAAGCCCGCUUCAAGAUAAGAUUUCCCUACACAGUUAUGUGUGAGAGGCCCCCAGCUAGACCACUGGGUUGAUAGGCCGGACGUGGAAGCGAGGACUAAAGACUCGUGAAGCCGACCGGUACUAAUAAGCCGACAACUU